GAGAGUAUAGCUCAGUGGUAGAGCACAUGCUUAGCAGGCACUGGGUCCUGGGUUCAAUCCCUAGUACCUCCA
RNAcentral lists this transfer RNA (72 nucleotides) under Camelus bactrianus (Bactrian camel). It matches the Rfam family "tRNA". Rfam says of the family: Transfer RNA (tRNA) molecules are approximately 80 nucleotides in length. Their secondary structure includes four short double-helical elements and three loops (D, anti-codon, and T loops). RNAcentral also lists the same sequence under 2 other names. Lineage: Eukaryota; Metazoa; Chordata; Mammalia; Artiodactyla; Camelidae. The record is from Rfam by way of RNAcentral.